This 918-nucleotide ribosomal RNA is filed under the name uncultured bacterium. RNAcentral's name for it is "bacterial SSU rRNA". It matches the Rfam family "Bacterial small subunit ribosomal RNA", at positions 78 to 1022 of the family's 1533-position model. The record is from RNAcentral.
CUUCGGCGCCGCAGCGGCGAACGGCUGAGGAACACGUACGAACCUGCCCGCUCGUGGGGAAUAACGCGCCGAAAGGCGUGCUAAUACCGCGUACGCUGAGCGCGAGCUCAGGAAAGCCUUCGGGCGCGGGCGGAGGGGCGUGCGGCCCAUCAGGUAGUUGGCGGGGUAAGCGCCCACCAAGCCGGUGACGGGUAGCUGGUCUGUGAGGACGAUCAGCCAGACUGGGACUGAGAGACGGCCCAGACACCUACGGGUGGCAGCAGCGAGGAAUCUUCUACUAUGGGCGGAAGCCCGAUAGAGCAACGCCGCGUGGAGGAGGACGGCCUUCGGGUUGUAAACUUCUUUCGGGGGGGAUGAAAGGGACAGUACCCCCAGAAGCAGCCCCGGCUAACUCUGUGCCAGCAGCCGCGGUAAGACAGAGGGGGCAAGCGUUGUCCGGAAUUACUGGGCGUACAGCGCGCGCAGGCGGCCCGGGAUGUGCCGUGUGACACGCGGAGGCUUAACCUCCGCCGGCCACGGUAGACAGCCGGGCUGGAGGCAGGGAGAGGGCUGUGGAAUACCCGGUGGAGCGGUGAAAUGCGUAGAGAUCGGGUGGAACACCAGCGGCGAAGGCGGCAGCCUGGCCCUGGCCUGACGCUGAGGCGCGAGAGCGUGGGGAGCGAACAGGAUUAGAUACCCUGGUAGUCCACGCCGUAAACGAUGUGGACCCGGUGCUGGCGGGUGAUUGCGCCCGUCGGUGCCUCAGCUUACGCGGUGAGUCCACCGCCUGGGGAGUACGGUCGCAAGGCUAAAACUCAAAGGAAAUUGACGGGGGCCCGCACAAGCAGCGGAGCGUGUGGUUUAAUUCGACGCAACGCGCAGAACCUUACCUAGGCUUGACAUGCACCUGCAGCCCGGGGAAACUCGGCGCCUUCGAGG